GACGAACGCUGGCGGCGUGCCUAAUACAUGCAAGUAGAACGCUGAAGAGAGGAGCUUGCUCUUCUUGGAUGAGUUGCGAACGGGUGAGUAACGCGUAGGUAACCUGCCUUGUAGCGGGGGAUAACUAUUGGAAACGAUAGCUAAUACCGCAUAACAAUGGAUGACACAUGUCAUUUAUUUGAAAGGGGCACUUGCUCCACUACAAGAUGGACCUGCGUUGUAUUAGCUAGUAGGUGAGGUAAUGGCUCACCUAGGCGACGAUACAUAGCCGACCUGAGAGGGUGAUCGGCCACACUGGGACUGAGACACGGCCCAGACUCCUACGGGAGGCAGCAGUAGGGAAUCUUCGGCAAUAGGGGCAACCCUGACCGAGCAACGCCGCGUGAGUGAAGAAGGUUUUCGGAUCGUAAAGCUCUGUUGUAAGUCAAGAACGGGUGUGAGAGUGGAAAGUUCACACUGUGACGGUAGCUUACCAGAAAGGGACGGCUAACUACGUG
Molecule: ribosomal RNA, 497 nt
Filed under: uncultured bacterium
Lineage: Bacteria
Description: partial 16S ribosomal RNA
Rfam family: Bacterial small subunit ribosomal RNA
Source: RNAcentral